CAAUAGCGUAUAUUUAAGUUGCUGCAGUUAAAAAGCUCGUAGUUGGAUUUCGGGUGGGAAUGGCCGGUCCGCCGUUUCGGUGUGCACUUGCUACGCCCACCUUGCUGCCGGGGACGUGCUCUUGAGUUCACGCUCGGGACACGGAAUCGGCGAGGUUACUUUGAGUAAAUUAGAGUGUUCAAAGCAGGCCUACGCUCUGAAUACAUUAGCAUGGAAUAACACGAUAGGACUCUGGCCUAUCUUGUUGGUCUGUAGGACCGGAGUAAUGAUUAAGAGGGACAGUCGGGGGCAUUCGUAUUUCAUUGUCAGAGGUGAAAUUCUUGGAUUUAUGAAAGACGAACUACUGCGAAAGCAUUUGCCAAGGAUGUUUUCAUUAA
Molecule: ribosomal RNA, 377 nt
Filed under: uncultured eukaryote
Lineage: Eukaryota
Description: partial 18S ribosomal RNA
Rfam family: Eukaryotic small subunit ribosomal RNA
Source: RNAcentral